RNAcentral lists this ribosomal RNA (1500 nucleotides) under Henneguya sp. n. SAZ-2022. RNAcentral's name for it is "SSU rRNA". It matches the Rfam family "Eukaryotic small subunit ribosomal RNA", at positions 87 to 1397 of the family's 1831-position model. The record is from RNAcentral. Lineage: Eukaryota; Metazoa; Cnidaria; Myxozoa; Bivalvulida; Myxobolidae.
CUGCGGACGGCUCAGUAUAUCAGUUAUAAUCUGCUCGAUUGUUAAGGUUAUUGGAUAACCGUGGGAAAUCUAGAGCUAAUACAUGCACCUCGGGCAGUUUCGGCUGUCAUGGCAUUUAUUAGAGCGAUACCAACCGUGUGAGCAAUCACACGAGGUGAAUCUAGAUAACUGUGCAGAUCGUAUGGCCUUGAGCUGACGACAUUUCGAUUGAGUUUCUGCCCUAUCAACCAGUUGCAAGUGUAAGGUACUUGCAAAGUGUCUACGGGUAACGGGGGAUCAGGGUUCGAUUCCGGAGAGGGAGCCUGAGAAACGGCUACCACAUCCAAGGAAGGCAGCAGGCGCGCAAAUUACCCAAUCCAGACAAUGGGAGGUGGUGACGAAAAGUACUAGGUGGCGACUAUGUUGCCAGCCUGGAAUGAAUGCAAUUUAAGCAAUUGAAUUGAGUAACGACUGGAGGGCAAGUCUGGUGCCAGCAGCCGCGGUAAUUCCAGCUCCAGUAGCCUAUCUCAAAGUUGCUGCGCUUAAAACGCUCGUAGUUGGAUCACGCACUUUGUGUUGGUGUGCGGCCUGGUGCGACGUGACCGAAUUUGCAGUUCGGCGCGUCGAAGUCACGGUCGCUAUUAGCCGAUGCAGAGUAAUUGCACGUGAGGAUGGCAGUUGGCCUUUAGUGUGUCGACAGUCGUGUCUCACGGGGUGUGCCUUGAGUAAAUCAGAGUGCUCAAAGCAGGCGAAUGCCUGAAUGUUGAUAGCAUGGAACGAACAAUCGUGUAGGGUGUGUGCUGGUAACGGUGCGUCGUUUGACCGCCGCAGUACACGACACCGACCACCAAUUACGGAUGUUGGUUCCGUAUUGGGGUACUGAUUAAGAGGAGCGGUUGGGGGCAUUGGUAUUUGGCAGCGAGAGGUGAAAUUCUUGGACCUGCCAAGGACUAACAAAUGCGAAGGCAUCUGUCCAGACCGUAUCCAUUAAUCAAGAACGAAAGUGAGAGGUUCGAAAGCGAUCAGAUACCGCCCUAGUUCUCACUGUAAACGAUGCCGACCCGGGAUCAGUUUGGAGCCAUUUUCCACGCUCGAGGUUGGUCCCCCUGGGAAACCUGAAGUUUUUCGGUUGCGGGGGGAGUAUGGUCGCAAGGCUGAAACUUAAAGGAAUUGACGGAAGGGCACCACCAGGGGUGGAGCCUGCGGCUUAAUUUGACUCAACACGGGAAAACUUACCUGGUCCGGACAUCAAAAGGAUAGACAGACUAAAAGAUCUUUCUUGAUAUGGUGAUUGGUGGUGCAUGGCCGUUCUUAGUUCGUGGAGUGAUUUGUCAGGUUUAUUCCGGUAACGAACGAGACCACAUUCUCCAUUUGAGGAGUCAGAGAAGGUCAAGGUCGAGUGCUGGUUGGCGACAGCCGGCAUCCGUUCCAAAGCCGAAGGCGGUGUUUGAGGAAUCGGCGGUUGUUUGCGCAAGUGAACGGCCUCCGAGUCUGAAGAUGCUCCCUCUGGCCAUACAGUGC